This 253-nucleotide ribosomal RNA is filed under the name uncultured bacterium. Its description in RNAcentral is "partial 16S ribosomal RNA". It matches the Rfam family "Bacterial small subunit ribosomal RNA", at positions 524 to 776 of the family's 1533-position model. The record is from RNAcentral.
UACAGAGGGUGCAAGCGUUGUUCGGAAUUACUGGGCGUAAAGCGAGUGUAGGCGGUUUGUCGCGUCUGCCGUGAAAUUUCGGGGCUCAACCCCGAACUUGCGGUGGGUACGGGCAGACUAGAGUGUGGUAGGGGAGACUGGAAUUCCUGGUGUAGCGGUGAAAUGCGCAGAUAUCAGGAGGAACACCGAUGGCGAAGGCAGGUCUCUGGGCCACUACUGACGCUGAGAAGCGAAAGCAUGGGGAGCGAACAGG